UGCGCAGGCGGCCUAGUAAGUCAGAGGUGAAAGCCCACAGCUUAACUGUGGAAUUGCCUUUGAUACUGCUAAGCUUGAAUUAGGUUGAGGUUGGCGGAAUGUGACAUGUAGCGGUGAAAUGCAUAGAUAUGUCAUAGAACACCAAUUGCGAAGGCAGCUGGCUAGACCCUAAUUGACGCUGAGGCACGAAAGCGUGGGGAGCGAACAGGAUUAGAUACCCUGGUAGUCC
Molecule: ribosomal RNA, 229 nt
Filed under: uncultured bacterium
Lineage: Bacteria
Description: partial 16S ribosomal RNA
Rfam family: Bacterial small subunit ribosomal RNA
Source: RNAcentral